Molecule: non-coding RNA, 1904 nt
Organism: Myodes glareolus (Bank vole)
Lineage: Eukaryota; Metazoa; Chordata; Mammalia; Rodentia; Cricetidae
Source: RefSeq, a predicted model, not a curated record
UUGCGACAGGACGUAAGUGACUGCGAAGGCAGUGCGACAGCUGCCGGAGGGCCGAGGAGGCGGAGCGGCGGGUCCUGUCCUCGCCAUGAGGCCGCAGCAGGCGCCGGUGUCCGGGAAGGUGUUCAUCCAACGAGACUACAGCAGCGGCACACGCUGCCAGUUCCAGACCAAGUUCCCCGCGGAGCUGGAGAACAGGAUUGAUAGACAGCAGUUUGAAGAAACAGUUCGAACUCUAAAUAACCUUUACGCAGAAGCAGAGAAGCUUGGGGGCCAGUCAUAUCUUGAAGGCUGUUUGGCUUGUUUAACAGCAUAUACCAUCUUCUUAUGCAUGGAAACUCAUUAUGAGAAGGUCCUGAAGAAAGUCUCCAAAUACAUUCAGGAACAGAAUGAGAAGAUAUAUGCUCCCCAAGGCCUCCUCCUAACAGACCCCAUUGAGAGAGGACUCCGAGUUGUAUCUUUUUAGUCCAGAUCAGAAGGUCCAAAUAUCUAUAAAAAGAACAUGUUCAGUGUGUUUUCUUAACGGCCAUGCUGUUCAGAUUGAAAUCACCAUCUAUGAAGACAGAGGUGUGAGCAGUGGAAGAUAAACCAUAGGAUUAAAGAUCCCGCCUCCAGCUGGGACCUUCGUCUAUCCACUGGCCGAUGGCAGAGUGUCCCUACCUCCUCUCCAGAGCGUAUUCUCUUGUAUCUGCUGCCAGAGCCACGGUGCCACACCUGGAGUGACCUCUUGUCGCUCAGCAUCCACUUCGUGUCUCCCAAUUGUGUAGGACUCUGUAAUCUUUUGAUUCGUUUCAAGAAAAUACAAGGAAGCAUUUCACUUUUUAAAAUUCAAAGCCAUUUAAAUAAUAAGCAGUUGGUCAGCCCAAGACAAAGUCUUUUUCUUACCUGACACCAGUAUCAUUGGUUCUGUUCAUUCCUUGGACCAGUUCCCUAGGUGACUUUAUAACUCAACAAGUCAUGACUUAGCACAGUUACUCCCCCACAUUAGUGACAGGCUUUGAGGGUGUGUCACACAUGUGCUUUGGCUGAUGCACCACCCAGAUCUCCAAAAGCUGCCGGUCUUGACGUGAUUCCGAUCUUAAGAUUGAUUUCUGCUGUUCAAUUUCAGAAACUGAAGCUCCCUGAGAGAAUAAUAUAUGUUAUUUGUUUUAGUAUUGCAGUUAUUAUUAAAGCAGUAUUUAAUGCAAUUCAGGUUGUUUCUUUGAAAGCAUUUAUGUUCAUGUGCAUUACCUCGAAAUGUCGGGAAGAUGUUGUGUGUGUUGCUUGUUCAUUACACAAAUCAGUAAGCACAAUAAAUAGAUGCUCAACCAUCAGAUAUGCCUGUCCCUGCUCUGCCCCAAGUGUGUAACAAGCAAGUGACAUUUAACUCUAGUUUUGUUACAGAUAUAACUUAGGAGAAAAGUUAAUAGGAAUUAUGCUGUAUGUUGCUAAUUUGUAACCUACUCAUAAACUCUGAUUCAUAGCCUCCACAUACAGUAUUCAGGGCACAGAAAUCUUUUCAUUGACUCGAGUAAGUUUUGGCUUCCACAUUAAACUUGCAAGUUCAAGUCAAUUUUCCAGCUCUUCUUUAUCUCUAUACUCUUAGUAUUGGAAUUUAUGUCCUUUCUUUUAGAAGUUUGAGAGCACUGUAUUUGGUUGAAAGUUAAGAAAGCUAAGGAAUGAAUGAAGCAGUUAAAAGUUUAACUUUUAGAGAUACUGUAGGUGCUAAUACUGGAUUUAAUCUUUCAGAUUUAAUUUGUUUUCUGGGCCUUGUGGUUAUUCAGUAAUCCCAAUAAAUCUGUGUAAUAAUUUAAUUGUAUAAACCUUAUUUGUUCCUUUAAAGCCUAUAUUAGUCUGUCUGCCUUUUAAACUUGUUGCAAUAACUUUGCUGAAAUAUUAACACAUUAGUAAAACUUUUCUUAAAUAAA